Molecule: ribosomal RNA, 253 nt
Filed under: uncultured bacterium
Lineage: Bacteria
Description: partial 16S ribosomal RNA
Rfam family: Bacterial small subunit ribosomal RNA
Source: RNAcentral
UACAGAGGUCCCGAGCGUUGUUCGGAUUCACUGGGCGUAAAGGGUGCGUAGGUGGUGAGGUAAGUUUGUGGUGAAAGCUCCGGGCCUAACCCGGAAAAUGCCUCGAAUACUAUCUUGCUAGAGGGUUGUAGGGGAGACUGGAAUUCUCGGUGUAGCAGUGAAAUGCGUAGAUAUCGGGAGGAACAUCUGUGGCGAAGGCGGCACCCUGGACCAGCACUGACACUGAGGCACGAAAGCGUGGGGAGCAAACAGG